RNAcentral lists this ribosomal RNA (497 nucleotides) under uncultured bacterium. RNAcentral describes it as "partial 16S ribosomal RNA". It matches the Rfam family "Bacterial small subunit ribosomal RNA", at positions 28 to 507 of the family's 1533-position model. The record is from RNAcentral.
GAUGAACGCUGGCGUCGUGCCUAAUACAUGCAAGUCGAGCGAACAGACGAGGAGCUUGCUCCUCUGACGUUAGCGGCGGACGGGUGAGUAACACGUGGAUAACCUACCUAUAAGACUGGGAUAACUUCGGGAAACCGGAGCUAAUACCGGAUAAUAUAUUGAACCGCAUGGUUCAAUAGUUCAAGACGGUUUUGCUGUCACUUAUAGAUGGAUCCGCGCCGCAUUAGCUAGUUGGUAAGGUAACGGCUUACCAAGGCAACGAUGCGUAGCCGACCUGAGAGGGUGAUCGGCCACACUGGAACUGAGACACGGUCCAGACUCCUACGGGAGGCAGCAGUGGGGAAUCUUCCGCAAUGGGCGAAAGCCUGACGGAGCAACGCCGCGUGAGUGAUGAAGGUCUUCGGAUCGUAAAACUCUGUUAUUAGGGAAGAACAAAAGUGUAAGUAACUAUGCACGUCUUGACGGUACCUAAUCAGAAAGCCACGGCUAACUUCGUG